This 262-nucleotide ribosomal RNA is filed under the name Escherichia coli. Its description in RNAcentral is "partial 23S ribosomal RNA". It matches the Rfam family "Bacterial large subunit ribosomal RNA", at positions 1085 to 1345 of the family's 2925-position model. The record is from RNAcentral. Lineage: Bacteria; Pseudomonadati; Pseudomonadota; Gammaproteobacteria; Enterobacterales; Enterobacteriaceae.
CCAGACAGCCAGGAUGUUGGCUUAGAAGCAGCCAUCAUUUAAAGAAAGCGUAAUAGCUCACUGGUCGAGUCGGCCUGCGCGGAAGAUGUAACGGGGCUAAACCAUGCACCGAAGCUGCGGCAGCGACGCUUAUGCGUUGUUGGGUAGGGGAGCGUUCUGUAAGCCUGUGAAGGUGUGCUGUGAGGCAUGCUGGAGGUAUCAGAAGUGCGAAUGCUGACAUAAGUAACGAUAAAGCGGGUGAAAAGCCCGCUCGCCGGAAGAC